Molecule: unclassified non-coding RNA, 225 nt
Filed under: Hevea brasiliensis (rubber tree)
Lineage: Eukaryota; Viridiplantae; Streptophyta; Magnoliopsida; Malpighiales; Euphorbiaceae
Source: RNAcentral
GCAUCUGGCGCACUCGCAACUGGACGGCCAAAACAAUCCUGAACCCGAAGAUAGAGGCGCCGGGUGUAGAAAUCCUCGAGCCCCAAGCAGAUCGGCGCGUAACCCUUGAGAUUCUUCGACUUGGAUUGGGACCAAUCGAUGAGCUUCCGGAACAGAUCCCGCAGCUGGCCGAAGGCGAAGAGGAGGCCGUAGCUGAAGAGCGUCGUCAGGGCGGUGAAAUACGGC